GUGAGGUUCUGAGGAGCU
Molecule: microRNA, 18 nt
Filed under: Xenopus laevis (African clawed frog)
Lineage: Eukaryota; Metazoa; Chordata; Amphibia; Anura; Pipidae
Description: xla-miR-125a-3p
Gene: xla-miR-125a-3p
Source: miRBase by way of RNAcentral